RNAcentral lists this signal recognition particle RNA (299 nucleotides) under Cebus imitator (Panamanian white-faced capuchin). Its description in RNAcentral is "Metazoan signal recognition particle RNA (ENSCCAG00000008292.1)". It matches the Rfam family "Metazoan signal recognition particle RNA". Rfam says of the family: The signal recognition particle (SRP) is a universally conserved ribonucleoprotein. It is involved in the co-translational targeting of proteins to membranes. The record is from RNAcentral. Lineage: Eukaryota; Metazoa; Chordata; Mammalia; Primates; Cebidae.
GCCAGGCACGGUGGCACGUGCCUGUAGUCCCAGCUACUCAGGUGGCUGAGGUGGGAGGACUGCUUGAGCCCAGGAGUUCUGGCCUGUAGUGCGCUAUGCCGAUCAGGUGUCCGCACUAAAUUCGGCAUCAAUAUGGUGACCUCCCAGGAGCGGGGGACCACCAGGUUGCCUAAGGAAGGGUGAACCCGCCAAGGUCGGAAACGGGGCAGGUCAAAACUCCCGUGCUGGUCAGUAGUGGGAUCGAGCCUGUGAAUAGCCACUGCACUCCAGGCUGGGUAACAUAGCAGGACCCUGUCUCA